GACGAACGCUGGCGGCGUGCCUAAUACAUGCAAGUUGAGCGCUGAAGGUUGGUACUUGUACCAACUGGAUGAGCAGCGAACGGGUGAGUAACGCGUGGGGAAUCUGCCUUUGAGCGGGGGACAACAUUUGGAAACGAAUGCUAAUACCGCAUAAAAACUUUAAACACAAGUUUUAAGUUUGAAAGAUGCAAUUGCAUCACUCAAAGAUGAUCCCGCGUUGUAUUAGCUAGUUGGUGAGGUAAAGGCUCACCAAGGCGAUGAUACAUAGCCGACCUGAGAGGGUGAUCGGCCACAAUGGGACUGGGACACCGCCCAAACUCCUAAGGGGAGCCGCAGUAGGGAAUCUUCGGCAAUGGAGGAAAGUCUGAACGGGCAAAGCCGCGUGAGUGAAGGAGGUUUUCGGAUCGGAAAACUCUGUUGGUAGAGAAGAACGUUGGUGAGAGUGGAAAGCUCAUCAAGUGACGGUAACUACCCAGAAAGGGACGGCUAACUACGUG
Molecule: ribosomal RNA, 497 nt
Filed under: uncultured bacterium
Lineage: Bacteria
Description: partial 16S ribosomal RNA
Rfam family: Bacterial small subunit ribosomal RNA
Source: RNAcentral